AAAUUGGAUCACGUGGGGUUAAAAACUAGGUCAGUAGAUCUAAAAAUAGAAAAACCUUGUGACCUCUGUAGAGGCCAUAUUUUUCAUGAGAUCUUCAUGAAUAUUGGUCAGAAUGUUCACCUUGAUGAUAUCUAGGUCAAGUUUAAAAGUGGGUCACGUGCCUUUAAAAACUAGGUCAUUAGGUCAAAUAAUAGAAAAACCUUGUGACCUCUCUACAGGCCAUAUUUUUCAAUGGAUCUUCAUGAAAAUUGGUGAGAAUGUUAAGCUUGAUGAUAUCUAGGUCAGGUUCAUAACUGGGUCAUGUGCGGUCAAAAACUAGGUCAGUAGGUUGAAAAAUAGAAAAACCUUGUGACCUCUCUAGAGGCCAUAUUUUUCACGAGAUCUUCAUGGAAAUUGGUGAGAAUGUUCACCUUGAUGAUAUCUAGGUCAAGUUCAAAAGUGGGUCACGUACCUUCAAAAACUAGGUCAUUAGGUCAAAUAAUAGAAAAACCUUGUGACCUCUCUAGAGGCCAUAUUUUUCAAUGGAUCUUCAUGAAAAUUGGUCAGAAUUUUUUAUCUUGAUGAUAUCUAGGUCACAUGUGCUCAAAAACUAGGUCACUAUGUCAAAUAAUAGAAAUAACAACAUCAUACUCAGUUCAACACUGGGUCAUGUGGGGAUAGGUGAGCGAUUCAGGACCAUCAUGGUCCUCUUGUUAAGAUAGUAGGAGUGAGCUUUUUUCCUUUUGUUUUAUUUUUCUGCCAAUCUUCCAUACUGCUGAGGAGGAGAUGCUGCUUCAGAAGAUUGGCAGAGUUGCAUUUUGUUACAGCUGCCAAGGCCUGACAGAUCCCUUUACUAUUGAUCGAGACAUGCUAGCGUGACUAUCGAGGACAAUCGGGUGCCUAUAUGUCCGCAAGAUUUUGACGUGUUGGAGUAACUGGUUCUACAAUUCUGUGCCCGCAGUGUUAAGAUGAAGGUUAUUCCUUUGUUUUGAGAAAUGGGAAUCGGGGAUUGUGAGGAUUUUAAUUUCUUUCAGGUACACAGCCUGCCAGUGACAACUGACUGUGUGUCCCGUCCAUACAUACAGUCGGCAGGAUUUUCUUUCAGCCUCAAGACCUGCCUAGGACAACCUUUAAGAGGUGGGCAGGAUUUCAUCUUUUCCAGGUCCAAGGUCUGCCUAAGACUGCAGAAGAUACAGAAGCAGCAGAAUAUUUCUUUCAGGUUUCAAGGCCUUGCAGGUCCUUUAACUGUUGAUCAAGACUGCUAUCGUGACUAUCGAGGACCCGGUGCCUAUAUGUCCGCAAGAUAUAAGCGUGUGGGGGUGACUGAUCUGCAAUCCUUGCCGGCGGGUUGCUAGAUGAUGGUUGUUCCUUUGUUGAGUGAGACGGAAACCAGGGAUUGCAAGGAUUUCUUAUUUAUUUCAGGUCAAUACCCUGCCUAUGUCUUCAAAUGCAUGUUUUACUUGGACGGAACAUACAUUGGGCAGGUUUUGUAUUUUUUUCAGGUUCAAGGCCUGCCAGGACCGGGCAGGAUUUUCUCUCUUUCAGAUUUCUGUGAAUGUUUGCCUUCCUCUACCAGGACAGGCCAGUCUGUCAGAAUUGUUUUCAUGUAGCUCACUUCUGCAAUAUUGAAUUCUUUCCUUAUUUAAGCAAACUUAACAUAAAAUAAUUUUGCAUUUUUUUUCCUGUUUUGGCUUAUUUAAUUUCAGGCUUGAGAGCAGAGACUUUCAUUAUUUCCAUGCAUGGAAACUGAAAUGAUGACGGUCCUUGUGUAGAGAUCCAGACACUUUGUUCCCAAGGUGAUGUGAAAUGGUGCAAAGUGUUGUGUAUGUCUUCUGCCUUCACUCUACUACACCACUACUGCCUGGAUCUUCAGUAUCUUCAGUUAGUACAGGAACUGUGAUGACACUGAGGAAAUAUUCUACAAUCUUCAACAUGGUUACAGUUGAAUUGUGAUUUCCACAUAGCAAUUGCUGUACAGUGUAAUGCCAGCAUGUAUGUUUUUCUAAGCAAGCGACAAGGUGUGUCAAUGCGGAAGCUGUGCAUCUGGACAGGAUGAGUGGUUGUAUUCCAAUGGCUGUAAGCAUGAAAUCACCUUGCCUUGUGUGGAAGACAUCUAUGAACGGAUCAACCAGAUGUAUACCUUCAAUUUAAAGUGAGUAUUGUAUUACAGAACUUAUUUAGACAGGGUUUAGCUAAAUCAGUUGUCCGACUUAGACACAUGGCUUUCACCUUAUUAGUCCCCUACUGGUUGAAAAUCAGUUUUGGGGACUAUAGGAAUCACUUUUCCAUCUGUCCUUCCAUCCGUCCGCAAUUUCGUGUCUGGUCCAAAACUCUGUCAUCCAUGAAGGGAUUUUAAUAUUACUUGGCACAAAUGUUCCCGAUGAU
Long non-coding RNA from Mercenaria mercenaria, 2364 nucleotides. RefSeq lists it as uncharacterized. The record is from RefSeq and is a predicted model, not a curated record. The transcript is spliced from 3 exons. NCBI's taxonomy places the organism in Eukaryota, Metazoa, Mollusca, Bivalvia, Venerida, Veneridae.